Molecule: transfer RNA, 58 nt
Filed under: Dipodomys ordii (Ord's kangaroo rat)
Lineage: Eukaryota; Metazoa; Chordata; Mammalia; Rodentia; Heteromyidae
Rfam family: tRNA
About the family: Transfer RNA (tRNA) molecules are approximately 80 nucleotides in length. Their secondary structure includes four short double-helical elements and three loops (D, anti-codon, and T loops). Further hydrogen bonds mediate the characteristic L-shaped molecular structure. tRNAs have two regions of fundamental functional importance: the anti-codon, which is responsible for specific mRNA codon recognition, and the 3' end, to which the tRNAs corresponding amino acid is attached (by aminoacyl-tRNA synthetases). tRNAs cope with the degeneracy of the genetic code in two manners: having more than one tRNA (with a specific anti-codon) for a particular amino acid; and 'wobble' base-pairing, i.e. permitting non-standard base-pairing at the 3rd anti-codon position.
Source: Rfam by way of RNAcentral
UGGCUUAGUGGUAGAGUGCUUGCCUUGCAUGCAUGAGACCCUGGGUUCGAUUCCUCAG